RNAcentral lists this long non-coding RNA (217 nucleotides) under Mytilus galloprovincialis (Mediterranean mussel). Lineage: Eukaryota; Metazoa; Mollusca; Bivalvia; Mytilida; Mytilidae. The record is from RNAcentral.
GAAAGUUUAACUCUCGGGAUAUGCGGAUGAAAUCUAGACACAUUGUUAUUUUUCUUGAAAAUGCAUCUUUUUUUGUCGCACAAUUAAAGACUUAGUAAUGCCGAAUCGAAGUCCUUUCCGGCAAAUUCGAUUUCUAAACUACAGCCCUUGAUUUGAGUAUCAUUUGUGACUUUAGAAAGCACAUUUUUAAACAUACAUGUAUACCGCACAAAGUUAC